This 885-nucleotide ribosomal RNA is filed under the name Triticum aestivum (bread wheat). Its description in RNAcentral is "partial small subunit ribosomal RNA". Lineage: Eukaryota; Viridiplantae; Streptophyta; Magnoliopsida; Poales; Poaceae. The record is from RNAcentral.
AUGCCAUCGUGUUUCCUCAAGUCUGCAAAGGUAGAGACAGGGCAGAAGACGGCGUUGGCGAAUCCAAAGCUCACUUUGGUUCACAACGGCAGGUUGGAGAAUGAGCAAGUAAAGCGUCCAAGCUCUGGCUAUGAAGUGAGGACUAUCACUAUGACCUACAAAAGGAAGAGAAGGUGGCCAGCCAACAGUACGUUAGCGCAUAAGCCAAUGUUGAUUGACAGCGGCAGUAGCAGCGAUGCCAAGAGUGACAAGGGUGAUGACUAUGAGCCGCCGACAAAGAGUGGGAGGCCAGCAAGUCUCAAAACCGCCAAGAGCAAGAGAGGGAGGCCACCGGGUUCGAAAUCAGCCAAGAACAAAGAAGAUGGCAUUGGAUCUUCAGAACCAGGGACCGACUUCAACGUUGUAAAAAGCUUCAGAAGCUUCAAGGUCAUUGUCGGCGGUUCUGCCAUCGAUGACAAACAACUCCCCACCGAGACACGUAGGGCGUACCACGGGCUCUGCCACGACCGCAAGUCUCUCCUCCAUGGGCGUCUGCAGAAGAACCUCGAACCUUUGCUUGCUGCAGGAGUGAUCAUCGAGACGGUUCGCAUAGCCAAGGGCAUCAGGGCCUCCGCCGCCUCUCCUUCCCGCGAGGACCUCACACGAUGGAAGAAGGACCUGGAGUCCUUUGAGAUGAUGGGCAUGGACGUUGGCUUCAUGCGCGAGCGCGUCAACAGCCUCCUGACCCUUCUCAAGAAAGCAGAUCACCUGCACGAGGGGUACGAUGCGGCAAAGCUGGAGCGGGCUCGCGCCACAGAGGGGUUGAGGGCACUCGAGUCAAAGCUGUCGAGCAUCAAGAACGCUCUGAAGGAGAUAGACGUGGAGUUGCAGGAGAUGGCUUCAUAG